ACUCAUUCUCUCCUCUUUCGCUCAAACGCGACGGCGUCGAUCAAUCCUUCUCCUCCGAUUAAAUAGAAUCCAAACGCCACCGUGAACCUUCUGAUCACCGUCACAACCUCCUCUUCUAAUUCUUAAUCCUAAUUUCUCCGUUCAAAAUUCAAUGAAUCCCUAAUCGCAGCAUUUAGAAGAACCCUAGAGAUUAAGCGUCUCAAACUCCUAAUUUCCACAUCACAUGAUUCGGCGCACGCAGAAUGAUGGAGAUUUGGAGACAUACCUGAAAUGACGAUCGAUUGCUGAGAGUGGAGAAAACCGGAGAAAAGAUUUCGAGCGAUGGGAUGCCAAAACAGAGAUGAGCGCGAGCAAAUGGAAGAAAAUCCAGAUAAUGAAGGUUGAAAGCUGCGUGUGAAUGAUGAAGAUGAUGAAGAAAUCGUGAAGCGAAUUGUGGAGUUCAGAGAUGAUGAUGGUGAAUGAAUCGGGGAGAUUAUCUGAGGUUUAGCUCAACUACUUAGUGCUUCAGAGGUUGAAGCUCCCAGAGUCAUGGUGGAGAGCGUGUAGUAUAGGUUGAGAGGGUGAUGAAGGUGGUGAAGUGAGGCAGUGAAGUGGUGAUGAAAAUGGUCGAGAGGAUGGUUAUGGAAGUGAAGGGAAAAUGGAGGAGAGGAUGAAGGUGAAAUACUGAGUGAAGAUGAAGAUGAAUGUGUAUGGAGAAGAUUGAAAAUGGUGGAGAGAGUGGAAGAAUGAUGAGCGUGAACUUGGAAAAAUGGUGGAGGGGCUUGAAUGAAGGUGGAGCAGAGUAUAUAUAGGUUUGUGAAUGAAGCUUUUUCUUUGUGCAGUAAUACAGGGCUGAGUUGGCUUGACAUUUGUUUGGUGAAGCAAAUCAAUAGCAAGAUUUUGGCAUUGGUGACAUGGGACUGUUUGUGUGUGUAAAGGCUGCUGGUUUUGGAUGUGUUAUAUAAGGCGCAGUAUACUCAAGGCCGAAGUGAAGUUCAGAAGAGUGGCAUGGAGAUGUACUGGAUGUUUAUUACUGGCUGCAUGAUACAGGCGGUGGGGGUCUCAAAGAUGAAGAGAAAACGAAGACUAACAUAGAGAAUAGAUUUAGGACAAUUUUGUAAUGCUUAUCUCUAUGUAAAUGGAUAGAUUUGUUGUUAUAAUUUUGUAGUGAAUUGGAUAUUUGGAUGAAUAGGAUUUUGUAAUGAGUUUGAAAUUGUAAAAUGUAAUGUGAUGGAUUUGAGAUAAAUAAAGUGUACUUUGUGACUUUCAAUAGAGUAUGUGAUGUAGCUUUUGGUCUUUGUAAUGUAUCCUUGAAUUUUGUAAUUGAAUUUUGUAAUGAGACUUUAAAUAAAUCAUUCUUGAAAUAGAAGCCCCAAUUUUUAGAUCCUUGAUCCUAAUGUCAGGUUUAUUUACUAAUGAUGCAUGGUGAGUUAGAUGACCUAAUGAAUGAAAUUAUGAGACGCAUAAGCCAAUUAUAACUAAAAUCAG
Vicia villosa (hairy vetch) is the source of this 1467-nucleotide long non-coding RNA. RefSeq lists it as uncharacterized. The transcript has 3 exons. The record is from RefSeq and is a predicted model, not a curated record. NCBI's taxonomy places the organism in Eukaryota, Viridiplantae, Streptophyta, Magnoliopsida, Fabales, Fabaceae.